Molecule: ribosomal RNA, 459 nt
Filed under: uncultured bacterium
Lineage: Bacteria
Description: partial 16S ribosomal RNA
Rfam family: Bacterial small subunit ribosomal RNA
Source: RNAcentral
CCUACGGGAGGCAGCAGUGAGGAAUAUUGGUCAAUGGCCGGAAGGCUGAACCAGCCAAGCCGCGUGAAGGACGAAGGUGCCAAGCAUUGUAAACUUCUUUUGUCAAGGGACAAAAUCAGGCUCGAGAGCCUGACCGAGGGUACUUGAAGAAAAAGCAUCGGCUAACUCCGGGCCAGCAGCCGCGGUAAUACGGAGGAUGCGAGCGUUAUCCGGAUUUAUUGGGUUUAAAGGGUGCGUAGGCGGACUGUUAAGUCAGCGGUAAAAGCCCGGGGCUCAACCCCGGCGAGCCGUUGAAACUGGCGGUCUUGAGAUGUCGAGAGGUAUGCGGAAUGCGCAGUGUAGCGGUGAAAGGCUUAGAUAUUGCGCAGAACUCCGAUUGCGAAGGCAGCAUACCGGCGGCGAUCUGACGCUGAGGCACGAAAGCGUGGGUAUCGAACAGGAUUAGAUACCCGUGUAGUC